AGCCCAGACUCCUACGGGAGGCAGCAGUGAGGAAUAUUGGUCAAUGGUCGGGAGACUGAACCAGCCAAGCCGCGUGAGGGAUGAAGGUACAGAGUAUCGUAAACCUCUUUUGUCAGGGAACAAAGGCGGGGACGUGUCCCCGGAUGAGUGUACCUGAAGAAAAAGCAUCGGCUAACUCCGUGCCAGCAGCCGCGGUAAUACGGAGGAUGCGAGCGUUAUCCGGAUUUAUUGGGUUUAAAGGGUGCGCAGGCGGUCUGUUAAGUCAGCGGCCAAAGCCCGGGGCUCAACCCCAUCCAGCCGUUGAAACUGGCAGUCUCGAGUUGGAGAGAAGUAUGCGGAAUGCGCGGUGUAGCGGUGAAAUGCAUAGAUAUCGCGCAGAACUCCGAUUGCGAAGGCAGCAUGCCGGCUCCACACUGACGCUGAGGCACGAAAGCGUGGGUAUCGAACAGGAUUAGAUACCCUUGUAAAC
Molecule: ribosomal RNA, 469 nt
Filed under: uncultured bacterium
Lineage: Bacteria
Description: bacterial SSU rRNA
Rfam family: Bacterial small subunit ribosomal RNA
Source: RNAcentral